AGUUUGAUCAUGGCUCAGAACGAACGCUGGCGGCAUGCCUAACACAUGCAAGUCGAACGGGAUCCUAGCUUGCUAGGUGAGAGUGGCGGACGGGUGAGUAACACGUGGGAAUCUGCCUUUUGGUUCGGGAUAACCGCGGGAAACUGCGGCUAAUACCGAAUGCCCUCGAGAGAGGAAAGAUUUAUCGCCAGAAGAGGAGCCCGCGUCCGAUUAGGUAGUUGGUGGGGUAAAGGCCUACCAAGCCGACGAUCGGUGGCUGGUCUGAGAGGAUGAUCAGCCACACUGGGACUGAGAUACGGCCCAGACUCCUACGGGAGGCAGCAGUGGGGAAUAUUGGACAAUGGGGGCAACCCUGAUCCAGCAAUGCCGCGUGAGUGAUGAAGGCCUUAGGGUUGUAAAGCUCUUUUGUACGGGAAGAUAAUGACGGUACCGUAAGAAUAAGCCCCGGCUAACUUCGUG
RNAcentral lists this ribosomal RNA (459 nucleotides) under uncultured bacterium. RNAcentral describes it as "bacterial SSU rRNA". It matches the Rfam family "Bacterial small subunit ribosomal RNA", at positions 10 to 507 of the family's 1533-position model. The record is from RNAcentral.